GAUUAACUGAACAGGACACUGAGAAAACUUUCUGGACUAAUGGAAAUGUUCUGCUUCUUGUUUCCGGGAAUGGCUUCACGGGUAUAUAUAAUUGUAAAAGCUUAAGGAAUUGAACAUUCAAGAACUAUGCACCCCACCAUGAAACAUGCACAGGUGCUCAGAAAUGUGAGCCGCCUCAAAACAAUGUGGACAUGUUCAUAAUUGGCAAAAAGUCUUCAGUUGACUCUGACAACUUAAGUGUCCCACAACUGUUGAGGAUUUUGCUGGCUGACGCAGUCCCAGUAUGGAAACCACAAGGUUCUGAGGAGCUGACCUCUCCCCCACGCACACCUGCCUAUCCAUUCUCCGUCUCGCCCUGCCUCCCCCUGCGCCCGUUCCUGCUGCCCCAGGCGCAUGCGCACUUGCUCGGUGGGAGGUGAGUGAAUGCGCACGCUCCGGGCACAGUCUCGCGUCAAUCUCCGCC
This is a long non-coding RNA of Bos taurus (domestic cattle), 463 nucleotides long. NCBI's taxonomy places the organism in Eukaryota, Metazoa, Chordata, Mammalia, Artiodactyla, Bovidae. The record is from Ensembl.